RNAcentral lists this transfer RNA (72 nucleotides) under Heterocephalus glaber (naked mole-rat). It matches the Rfam family "tRNA". From Rfam's summary of the family: Transfer RNA (tRNA) molecules are approximately 80 nucleotides in length. Their secondary structure includes four short double-helical elements and three loops (D, anti-codon, and T loops). The record is from Rfam by way of RNAcentral. Lineage: Eukaryota; Metazoa; Chordata; Mammalia; Rodentia; Bathyergidae.
GGAGAUGUAGCUCCAUGGUAGAGCACUUGCCUAGCAUGUACAAGGCCCUGGGUUCAAUUCCCAGUACUGUUA